RNAcentral lists this transfer RNA (77 nucleotides) under Chloroflexota bacterium. RNAcentral's name for it is "Chloroflexi bacterium tRNA-OTHER". It matches the Rfam family "tRNA". Rfam says of the family: Transfer RNA (tRNA) molecules are approximately 80 nucleotides in length. Their secondary structure includes four short double-helical elements and three loops (D, anti-codon, and T loops). The record is from RNAcentral. Lineage: Bacteria; Bacillati; Chloroflexota.
GCCCCGGUUGCUCAGUUGGAAAGAGCGCUUCUCUCACUAAGGGGAAGUCGUGGGUUCGAGUCCCACCCGGGGCGCCG